Molecule: transfer RNA, 73 nt
Filed under: Pteropus alecto (black flying fox)
Lineage: Eukaryota; Metazoa; Chordata; Mammalia; Chiroptera; Pteropodidae
Rfam family: tRNA
About the family: Transfer RNA (tRNA) molecules are approximately 80 nucleotides in length. Their secondary structure includes four short double-helical elements and three loops (D, anti-codon, and T loops). Further hydrogen bonds mediate the characteristic L-shaped molecular structure. tRNAs have two regions of fundamental functional importance: the anti-codon, which is responsible for specific mRNA codon recognition, and the 3' end, to which the tRNAs corresponding amino acid is attached (by aminoacyl-tRNA synthetases). tRNAs cope with the degeneracy of the genetic code in two manners: having more than one tRNA (with a specific anti-codon) for a particular amino acid; and 'wobble' base-pairing, i.e. permitting non-standard base-pairing at the 3rd anti-codon position.
Source: Rfam by way of RNAcentral
GGUUCCAUAGUAUAGCGGUUAACACGUCUGUUUUACACGCAGAAGGUCCUGGGUUCGCGCCCCAGUGGAGCCA